AAUGAACGCUGGCGGCAUGCCUAACACAUGCAAGUCGAACGAAGGCUUCGGCCUUAGUGGCGCACGGGUGCGUAACGCGUGGGAAUCUGCCCUUGGGUUCGGAAUAACAGUUAGAAAUGACUGCUAAUACCGGAUGAUGUCGUAAGACCAAAGAUUUAUCGCCCAAGGAUGAGCCCGCGUAGGAUUAGCUAGUUGGUGGGGUAAAGGCCUACCAAGGCGACGAUCCUUAGCUGGUCUGAGAGGAUGAUCAGCCACACUGGGACUGAGACACGGCCCAGACUCCUACGGGAGGCAGCAGCGGGGAAUAUUGGACAAUGGGCGAAAGCCUGAUCCAGCAAUGCCGCGUGAGUGAUGAAGGCCUUAGGGUUGUAAAGCUCUUUUACCCGGGAUGAUAAUGACAGUACCGGGAGAAUAAGCUCCGGCUAACUUCGUG
This 433-nucleotide ribosomal RNA is filed under the name uncultured bacterium. RNAcentral's name for it is "partial 16S ribosomal RNA". It matches the Rfam family "Bacterial small subunit ribosomal RNA", at positions 29 to 507 of the family's 1533-position model. The record is from RNAcentral.